Molecule: long non-coding RNA, 459 nt
Filed under: Cyanistes caeruleus (blue tit)
Lineage: Eukaryota; Metazoa; Chordata; Aves; Passeriformes; Paridae
Description: lncRNA (ENSCCEG00000015224.1)
Source: RNAcentral
GUGUGCCAAGCCCCCAUGGGCCGUGCCAAUGCUGCACAGUCUGCUCUGUUGGUGCCCAGAACGAGAUGGUUGUGGGAGGCAGAGCUGGCUGAGCACCUUAGCAAAUCUGCUUUCCCUGGCAGCAUCCUGUGUGCCUGGAGGUGCCCCCAGCCUGCCCUCCCAGGGAUCUGCAGAGGGAACAUGCCCUGCUGGAUGAACAAGGGUAGGAGUCAUUCCCCAGAUAAACAGGACCUUCCUGGGACUAUGGGCUGCAGAAACUUGGUCAAGGACAGAGCAAGAGGAGACAAAUUUUACAUGGGAAGGAUUUAUGAACACAGACACAGGCAUUGCUUGUUCUCUUUCCUGUUGCUCACACACGUCUGGAAGUUAAACCCAUGAGCUAAUUGCAAAGCUGCAUGCACACAUUAUAUAUAUAUAAAUAAUAAUAAACCUCCCAUUCAUUAUGUACCCUGGAGUGUC